AUUUUUUGAAACAGGGUUUUUCUGUGUAGCCCUGGCUGUCUUGGAACUCACUCUGUAGACCAGGCUGGCCUCAAACUCAGAAAUCCGCCUGCCUCUGCCUCCCAAAUGCUGGGAUUAAAGGCAUGUGCCACCACUGCCCGGCCAAUGUUAUAUUUUUAUUAUAUAUAAAUUAUGUAUCAAUAUAGUAUUUAUAUUGUAUAUAAAUAUAUGAUGUAUAAUAUAGAAUUAAUAUAUAUGUUUAUAUUAAUAAGAUGUUAUAGAAUUAAAAUAACAUAAGACUGGUGUGGUCUGGUGUAGUGGUUCUGGCCUUUAAUCCCAGCAUUCAAGAGGUAGAGACAGGCAGAUAUCUGUGAAUUCAAGGUCAACCUGGUUUUCAUACUGAGUUCCAGGCUAGUCAGUGCUGCAUAGUGAAAUACAUCAGAAAGAGUGAUAGAGACCAGUGUCAUGGUAUAGACCCACAAUCCCUGCAUUCGGAAGGUUGAAGCAACAGGAUAGAUAAGUUUGAGGCAAACCACACAUAGCAAGAGCAAAUCUCUCUCUCCCUGUCCUUCAAAAUGCAGAUACAGUUUUUCAAUUCUAAAAGUAGUUCAUGUGACCAGGGCAUGGUGGCACACACCUUUAAGAGGUGCACUUGAGAGGCAGAAGCAGAUGGAGCUCUGAGUGUGAGGUCAGCCUGGCCUACAAAGGACCAGGACAGCCAAGGCUAUUACACAGAAAUAUCCUGUCUCAAAAAACAACCAAAUAAACAAAUAGUGUUAAUUUUUAAAUUGUCAAUACUGAAAAGAUAGAGGGCGUUUUAAAGACUCAGAAGUUAGUAGGUAUACUCUUUGUUAUAAGUGUCUGACUAUUCUAGUGACUCUGACCAUAAAGAAAUAAGCAAGUAUUUAUAUUUAGUAUGUGCAUCAUCUCUUGUCCCAUUGCCAGGCCCAGUCUCAAUGUUAAUAGAGAACCAGGCCCUCCAUGGUACUCCCCUAACAUUCUGACACUAGAUACUCUGUGGUCACAUGCUUAACUUAGUCUACCUGUGUUGGACCUGACUCUGAAGUGGUAUGAUCUACGGUGAUCCAUCUUAUGUGUAUGAAUGUUUUUCCUGCAUGUAUGUCUGUACACUACAUGUAUGCCUGGUGUUCAAGGAGGUCAUACGAAAGUGUCAUAUCCCCCAAAUGGAGUUACGGGUAGUUGUGAACCACCAUGAGGAUGCUGGGAGCAGCAUGGGUCCUCGAGAAGAGCAACAAGUGUCCUGUACUGCUGAGCCAUCUCCUCAGCCCUACUUGUGUUAGUUCAUAAUAGAAAAAAUUCUUUGGAUUUUAGAAGUAAAAUGUGUGGCUCCUGCUUUUCCUGGAUUGGAUGUGUGUGUACAUGGUCAUGAACAUGCUCAUUGCAUGAAUGCACACGCCUUUGGGGGCCAGAGGAUAGUUUUUGAGAUGGUCUUUUACUGGCUGGGACUCACAAAUUAGGCUAGACUGGCCAAUCAGGGAUGCCCAGGGAUCCUGCCUUUACCUCCCUACUGGGUGACAAGUGCCUAACAUUUUCGUAUGGGUUCAGGGAUUGAACUAAUACCGUGCUUACAAACACUGUACUGAGCUGUUUUCCCAGACCUGUCCUGGUUUUGAUCCAUGCAAAUAAUAAUAAAGCCUUUGGAAACACAUGCCUGGAUAAUCUCCUCUCUCAUGACUGUCUCAUGGAGCCAUUCUUCUCCUGAGGACUCCCAAGACAGAAGCAGAUGUUGGACAAUGAGUGCUGCUAUGCUCACUAUGAAGAGGCUUAUUUUUAAAGGUUGUUUUUUAAAACAAGAUCCUGGAGAAGAUGUGUUCAGAUGUCAUUGUGGAAAGGCUAGUUUUGGAAACUGAGUUUGUAUCCAGGUAUGUCAGGAAAAUUGUGAUUCAAGUAAAGGACUUGUUUCUAUUGAGGGAUCACAUGUCAUCACGCUUUUGUCCUUGACAGUGGGCAUACUGUAAAGGUCUUAGGUGGGUGUUUCACUGCAAAGUUAAGGACACCUUUCAGGGUUGUUGAAAAAAAUAAAAGAAUAUAUUUGAAGGAUUCCCACAGUACUUAACAUGGCAAAUAUAUAUUCUCUCAUACUCAGUUCUACAAAUUCUGUUUCCACAAUAAUCACACAACACACAUAAACACACACAGUGUAAUAUCACAGAUCUCCAAAGCAGUGUGUGCUCUGAAUCCACAAUGCCUUGUAAAUAAAUGAAGAAUUGAACUUC
RNAcentral lists this long non-coding RNA (2216 nucleotides) under Mus musculus (house mouse). RNAcentral describes it as "long non-coding RNA chr16:3875400-3877616". Lineage: Eukaryota; Metazoa; Chordata; Mammalia; Rodentia; Muridae. The record is from RNAcentral.